GGUGGGGUGGCAGAGCGGACGAUUGCGCUGGUCUUGAAAACCAGUAGGCCCUUUUUGGGUCUCAGAGGUUCGAAUCCUCUCCCCACCG
This 88-nucleotide transfer RNA is filed under the name subsurface metagenome. RNAcentral describes it as "tRNA-Ser". It matches the Rfam family "tRNA". From Rfam's summary of the family: Transfer RNA (tRNA) molecules are approximately 80 nucleotides in length. Their secondary structure includes four short double-helical elements and three loops (D, anti-codon, and T loops). Further hydrogen bonds mediate the characteristic L-shaped molecular structure. tRNAs have two regions of fundamental functional importance: the anti-codon, which is responsible for specific mRNA codon recognition, and the 3' end, to which the tRNAs corresponding amino acid is attached (by aminoacyl-tRNA synthetases). tRNAs cope with the degeneracy of the genetic code in two manners: having more than one tRNA (with a specific anti-codon) for a particular amino acid; and 'wobble' base-pairing, i.e. permitting non-standard base-pairing at the 3rd anti-codon position. The record is from RNAcentral.